RNAcentral lists this ribosomal RNA (574 nucleotides) under Histoplasma capsulatum. RNAcentral describes it as "eukaryotic LSU rRNA". It matches the Rfam family "Eukaryotic large subunit ribosomal RNA", at positions 62 to 648 of the family's 3401-position model. The record is from RNAcentral. Lineage: Eukaryota; Fungi; Ascomycota; Eurotiomycetes; Onygenales; Ajellomycetaceae.
AAACCAACAGGGAUUGCCUCAGUAACGGCGAGUGAAGCGGCAAGAGCUCAAAUUUGAAAUCCGGCCCCCCUGGGGGCCUGAGUUGUAAUUUGCAGAGGAUGCUUCGGGCGCGACCGCGGUCCAAGUCCCCUGGAACGGGGCGUCGUAGAGGGUGAGAAUCCCGUCUCCGGCCGGCCGGUCUCGCCCGUGUGAAGCUCCUUCGACGAGUCGAGUUGUUUGGGAAUGCAGCUCCAAAUGGGUGGUAAAUUUCAUCUAAAGCUAAAUACUGGUCGGAGACCGAUAGCGCACAAGUAGAGUGAUCGAAAGAUGAAAAGCACUUUGAAAAGAGAGUUAAACAGCAUGUGAAAUUGUUGAAAGGGAAGCGCUUGCGACCAGAGUCGGCCGUGGGGGUUCAGCGGGCAUUCGUUGCCCGUGCAAUCCCCCGCGGCCGGGCCAGCGUCGGUUUCGACGGCCGGUCAAAGGCCCCCGGAAUGUGUCGCCUCUCGGGGCGUCUUAUAGCCGGGGGUGCAAUGCGGCCAGUCGGGACCGAGGAACGCGCUCCGGCACGGACGCUGGCUUAAUGGUCGUCAGCGAC